CAAGCCAUUAGUCUACUACCAAACAUUCCAUUAGAAUAUUACUGGUGGACAAGUUCCAUUGUCCCACACGCUGUUCACUGUUUCUCUGAGUAUCCAAAGAAAUGACUUAGAAAUUUGUUCCAAAUACACAUACAUCCACCAUAUUUUUUUCUCAGUAAAAGUCACAUAACCCCUCUAGAUUCUUCCAGUGUACAUAUAAUAACAAGAAAACAAAUGACACGUGAAGGGUGGAGAAUAAUUUUCCCAGCAAAGCAAAGGUUAGCCCAGUAAGUAAGAGAAUGAGGCAAAACAAAGAGACUCUUUAGGUAUUUUUCUUUACAAGGGUGGUUGCCCCUCUUUGUUUAGCCUAUGAUUUUUCCAAUAAAAAAAAAGUAAAGCAACAACCCUUGUGAUUCAUGUUUAAUUUCCAGGAAAUUCUUGAAUCAUUCAACAGGGAAAACAUGCAUAUACUAGUAUACAACCAUAUUACUCAACUUCCAAUUUUCUACGUUAACAACUUUAAUUUGCCAAAUGCCUGUUUGCUGAUUUUCUAUUCUUUUUUCUUUUUGGAUGUGUAUGAUUAGAGGCGAUGAUGAUGAUGAUGAUGUAUUCGGAUUCUGGGCUAACCGGGUCGGGCAUGAGGACUAUUCGACCCGUAUCUUGGCUUGGCAAUUUUGCAGCCAUGGCGUGGUUGUCUCUCUUUGUGCCUCGAUCUCUUUGCACAUCUGAGCCUCAACAAUAUAUUUGGGGGGCAUUUGGCCAUGAAAAUUGUGAUAUUUGUUUGAAAGUGUGUUGAUGUGUUAUUGUUAAAGUUUAUGUUUCAAUCAAUUUUGAAAUAAAUGCAUAGUUUAAAAAUUUUUUGAUUUAUGUUUCAAUUAGUUUUGAAACAAAUGCAUCGAACACUUAAAAGAUUUUGAGUUAUAAAAAAAUGAUUGUGAAUUUUACAAUUCAUUGAUUAAAUUUUACGUAUUAGGGUCUUAGUUUGUUGAAAGAAAGAAAUUUUUUGUUUUAAAAUAUUCAUAACAAAUGUUUGUUAUUAGAGAAAAUAGUGUAAACACCUAAUUGUUUAUCAAAUCUAAGUGUUUUUCAUCAUUUUAUUGUUCAAUUUGUUUUUUUUAGGAUCAAAAUUAGAUAUUUUAAGUUUAUCUUAUUUUUAUAAAAUUUAUUUUAAAAAUUUUAAAAACUUUAAAAAUAGAGUUAAAUUUUUAAAUAAAUUUUUAUUUUAUUGUUUAUUUAUUUAUUUUAAGUAAUUUUUUUUUAAAAUUAUAUUUGUUUUCUUCUUUUUAACGUUUAAUAAAUAAUUUAGUGAUAUUAAUAUUUCGUAAACACGCUUUUAACUUACUUGUAUUGUAUUAGUUUUAAAUAAUUUUUUUUAUUAUGUAUUUUUAUUUUUAUUUUAAAUAUUAAUUUGGAAAAAGAAAAAAGAGAAACCUAAACUACUCCCACACUUCACGUUCUCUCCUACUCUCUCCACACACACGUCUCUCAACCUCUCCCAAAUUCAACUCACACAACAAACGUACAUACAUAGACCAAUAUAUAAACACACACAACAGAAAAAGAGAAAAAAAAAAAAGAUAGAGAGAAUGAGGGAAACAACGAGGCAAAAAAAAAAGUAAGAGAAAAAGAAGAAAAUAAGUCCCAACACUUUUUGUUCCAAAUACACACGGGCAAAAUCCAAAAACAAGAUUAAAAAAAGUAAAAGAAGCAAAAAGUAGUGAAUCCAAAGGCAAACAAAAAAGAAAAAAAAAAAGAAAAUUGAGAGAACAAAGGGGACAAUAAGUUGGAGAUUGAGGUUUGAUUCGAAGCUUUUUUUUUUUUUGGGAAAUUAUUUUACACAAGAGGUAACCAUCAAUCCUGCAAUUCAAUUUCAUGUUUAUAUAAAACUUGAUUCUUAUAUAAUGAAGUUGCUCAAGUGUCAUGUGCUUAACUGUUAAUAUUUAUAGUAUAUGUAUUCUCAUAAUUUUAUAUAGUCAGAUUCAUAUUAAAGUGGUCGAAACAGAUGAUAUGUUUUUGCAUGUUUAAGUUAAAUCACUUGUCCUUAGGUUGAUAAGAAAAAUUAUUAUUUUUAAUGUUGAUACUAACGCACACUGUGUAAUUUGUAAUAGUGAGCAAAAGUUGAUUCAUAUAUUAAAUUUAAUAAAGGAUAUACAGUAAUAUGAAAUAAUUUGUAAAGAAAUCUUCUGUUUAAGGUCCACUCUUUCCCUUCAUACAUUUUUUUUUUCGAAUUUACAUUGAUUAGUUAUUGAGUUAAUGCAUUUUAUUUGAUUCAUCUGAUUUUAUGUUCAGUGCUGAAAUAUAUUGUUACUUUCAUAUAAUAUAAUGACCAUCGAGUUUUAAGUCGUUAUAAUUGAGUUUAUUUAAAACUUAAAGAUUAGAUUUUAAGUUGAGUACAAAUAGUAAAGAGAAGUUAAACUAAAACGUGAAUAAAUAGUUGAAUAAUUUGUUUUCAUUUAAACCCUCUGAUGAUUUAAGUGAAUAAAAAAUUAGGCAAAACAUUAACUCUUCAUUGAUUGUUAAGAUUCCUUUUAGGAAUGAAAUACUAUCAAAAGAGCGAAGUGAAUAAUUCGUAUAAGAAUGAAUUUAGGUUCUUGACCUGUAGUAAAUUAAAAGUUCAAUAUAUAAGUGAUAAUUAACGAUGAAGUCGGAAAGCACUGCUAUCGACCGUUCGUUAUAAUAAAAUAAACAUACCAUUUGAAGCCGAUUGAAUUGGGUUGGGUAGAUUUUAAACCUGUUAGGUGCUUAUUUAGACUAGGAAAAUGGAGACGACUCAUAAAUCCCUCAAAGGCACGAGAAAUGUAUCAAAACUUGUGGUAUGACCGAAAAAUACUGCUACUGGCAAGCCACACAUUAAUAUAAUUAAAUAAUUUAAAAUUAAUAAAAGUGGGAUGUAAGUAACUUUUAGGCCAACAAAUAUUAUGUAUCCAAGAGAUUAAUUUAAGCCAGACGUAAGUCAUUAAAGCGAUCGUGCUAGAACUAUGGGACUCAAGGGGUGCCUCACACCUUCCCUCGAUCAAUAAAAUUCCUUAUACGGAUUUCUAGAUCGCAGACCAAAAAUUAAGAGUCAUUUCCUUUUGAAUAGGGAUUCAAUAAGGUGAUUUGAAACACCCAAAUUCAAUUUCAAGUGACGACUCUGUAAAAUAAUUAGUCCCUUUUCAAAACGUUACUUUAAUUGAAAAAAUUCAUUUUCUCAAAACCAACGCCUUAGCGAGGUCAGAUGCGAUAAAAAUAGGGGUGUGACAAAUAGUAGUAGCAUAUAUCUAAUAAGUUCAGACUCUUUAAAAGAAAUUAGAGAAAAUGCUCUAUUUCAAUCUUGAACUAUAGGCGAAAAGGUUGAGACACACCCGAACUUUAGGAGGGUCCCAUUACCUCUUGAACUAAUUAAAAUCAUAUUUUUGACAAUCUUAGUGCCUACAUGGCACAUACGUGGCACAACACACUGAAGGGUCCACGGAGGCACAUGUGUGUGUCACAUAUGUGUCACGUAUACAUUAAAGUUGUUAAAAAUAUGAUUUUAAUUAGUCCAGGGGGUAAUAGGAACCUCCUAAAGUUCGAGUGUGUUUCAGCCUUUCGUGUAUAGUUCAAGGUGAAAAUAAAGUAUUUUUCCAAGAAAUUAUAAAAUCAAACAUGAAUCCCAUGCAUAUGGAACUAAUAGUAAUAGAUUUAAUAGGACUAUCUAGAAAGAAUCUAGAAACAAAAGUACCCAUUUCAAUAUAUGAUAAUAGAUGGUUAGACUCAAAAAGAUUUAUAAUAGGAAUAACAGAAGUAGACAUGUCCUGUAAUGGAGGACUUUUUUACUGUAGUCCAGAUUAUAUGAUAAAUUCUUUAGAAUUUAAAAAAUAUAUUAAAAUAGGUAUUCAGACUAAAGGUUAUGAAGAGAUGAAUAAUGAAAAUAAUUUAUUAAUAUGUGUAGAAUUUAUAGAAAAACUUGUCACUAAUAGUGAUACGAAAUUUAGAGCUACUGGCUACACUUUCCAUUAGUUUUUUAUGAUUUCUAUUUCAUCUAUACUAUAAUUUGUUUUCAAAUUCUCGUCUUUUUGUAUUUCGUUAAGUGUCUCUUUCUUAUAUCUAUACCCAUAAGCUCCUUAUAAUAUUUAAGGUAAUUACAUUCUUAAAAGGAUCAAGGAAGUCUGAUAGGGUGGAGAGUACUUAAAGUCGAAUUUUAAAAUUUAUUUUUGUGAAAAAGAAGGCAUUGAAAAAUAAUUGAUCAUGUUCUAUACAUCAUAGCGAAACGGUGUAGUAGAAAGAAAAAAUAAAACUUUCAUAGAAAUGGUUUAUUCUAUGCUUUAUGGAUCUGAUAUGUCUGAAAAUUUAUGGACUAAAGUCUUUACUUUUAGCAUGUCUAUUUUGAAUAGAAUUACUUCCAGGAAUCAUGAUGCAUCUCCAUAUGAACUUUGAAAUAAUCAAAAGUCAAAUACAAAUUAUUUUAAAGCAUAAGAUUGUUUGGCUCAUGUUCUAUUAUUCAGAUCAAUAUUUAAUUAAGAUUGCCUAUAGAGAAGUAGAUUGUGUGUUUACUAAUUAUUUAUAAUUCAAUCAGGCUCAUAAAUUUUUAAAUUUUGAGACCCCAAGCCCUAAAAUAAUUAUUGAAUCUUUACAUGCUAAUUUUUUGAGCAUAUGUUUUUCAAGAAAAAAAAUUCUUUUGAAUAAGAUGCAAGUUCUUCUAUUUCUCCUCUUAAAAGAAAAAUAGUUGAGCCAUUGAAAGAAACUCAACCAAGACGUAGUUCAAGAUCAGCCAAACUAACAAACUUUGAACCUGAUUUUCAAGCUUAUUUGGUUGAAAAAUAUCCUGCUAAAGCUAUGUCUUCACGUGAUGCUCCUUUUUGGCAUGAAACUGUUGAUGAUGAAAUGCAUUUUAUUCUGUCAACUAAUACCUGAAUUUUAUCAGAUCUUCCUCUUGAAUGUAAAUCAAUUGGUUGGCGAUGAAUUUUUAGGAAGAAAAUGAAAGCCGAUGGUACUUUGGAUAAGUAUAAAACUCGCUUGGUAGCUAAAGGUUUUACUCAAUUGAAAGAUAUUGAUUAUUUUGAUACUUUUUCAUUUGUAUCUUGGAUGACCUUUAUUCGUCUAUUGAUUGCUUUAGCCGCAAUUCAUGAUCUUGUGAUUCAUUAGAUGGAUGUGAAGACUGUAUUCUUAAAUGGAGAUCUAGACAAAGAAGUCUACAAUGAAACAAGCAAAAGGAUUUGUCAUUUCUGAUAAAAAAAAUGUAAAGUUUGUAAGCUUCUUAAAUCUCUUUAUGGAUUAAAACAAGCUCAAAAGUAAUGGCAUGAGAAAUUUAGAAAAAUUAUGAUUUCUAAUGUCUACUUAAUCAAUGGUGGAGAUAUCUGCAUAUUUAGUAAUUUUUUUUAAAAAAUAGGUAAUAUAAUAUGUCUUUAUGUAGAUGAUAUGUUGAUUUUUGAAACUGAUAUUGCAAGAGUCAAGGAAACAAAAUAUUUUCUUGCUUCUCAGUUUGAAAUGAAAGAUCUUGGAGAAGCUUAUGCAAUUUUAGGCAUCAAAAUUAUAAGAUCAACAAAUGGUUUGACGCUUACUCAAUCAAGUUAUAUUGAGAAGGUUCUGAAGAGGUUUGGUCAUUUUGACGACAAGUCUGCUGCUACACCAUUUGAUCCUAGCAUCAAACUAGUGCGAAACUGUGGUAAUAUUCUUGAUCAAUUACGUAUUCUCAAAUUGUUGGGAGUUUUAUGUAUGUCAUGUGUUGUACCAGGUCAGAUAUUGAUUAUGCAGUAGGAACUUUGAGCAAGUUUACUGGUAGCUUUGAAAUUGAGCAUUGAAAUGUUUCAAUUCGUAUUUUAAGCAAUAUCUCGGAGAUCAAACAAGCAGACAUAUAUUGCUCACUCAACAAUGAAGUCAAAAUUUAUUGUAUGUCUUCUGCUGGAGAAGAAGCUGAUUGGCUGCGGAAUAUGCUGAUAGAUAUUCCAUUAUGGGGUAAAGCUAAUACCAUCUUUAACUAUCUAUUGUGAUAACAAAUUUGCUAUAUUUCGGACUUCAAGUGAUUGUUACAAUGGCAAGUCAAGACAAGUUCAUCUCAAACACAAUCAUGUGAGAAGAUUAUCGGAGGAUGGCAUAAUAUCGUUUCAAUAUGUGAAGUCCAGACUCAAUUUUACAUAUUUUUUGUCUAAAGGGUUAGGCAAGGAAUUAGUGAUGCAAACUUAUAAUGGAAUGGAAAUAAAACUUGUUGUAGAUUCAUUGUACUUUAUGGUAAUCCUACCUAAUGAUGUAAUCUUGGGUUCAAAGAGAAAAAAAAGUAAAGUUACAAUUGUGAAGCACAUCAAUAAAAUUUUCUUUUUUCCCUA
Molecule: long non-coding RNA, 6263 nt
Organism: Capsicum annuum
Lineage: Eukaryota; Viridiplantae; Streptophyta; Magnoliopsida; Solanales; Solanaceae
Exons: 2
Source: RefSeq, a predicted model, not a curated record